UUUAUUAACCACCGGUUA
Molecule: small nuclear RNA, 18 nt
Filed under: Arabidopsis thaliana (thale cress)
Lineage: Eukaryota; Viridiplantae; Streptophyta; Magnoliopsida; Brassicales; Brassicaceae
Description: snRNA_03767
Source: RNAcentral